Molecule: long non-coding RNA, 324 nt
Filed under: Cyanistes caeruleus (blue tit)
Lineage: Eukaryota; Metazoa; Chordata; Aves; Passeriformes; Paridae
Description: lncRNA (ENSCCEG00000001349.1)
Source: RNAcentral
UGUUGGGAUUUGGGGAUUUUGGGGUUGCCAAUGGAGAUUUUGGGGUCAGUUGUUGGGAUUUUGGGGUCAUUUAUUGGGAUUUUGGGGUCAAUUGUUGGGAUUUUGGGGUCUGUACAGGGAUUUUGGGGUCAGUUCUUGAGAUUUUGGGGUUUUUGGGGUCAUUUAUUGGGAUUUUGGGGUCGUUAUUGGGAUUUUGGGGUCGGUUAUUGAGAUUUUCGUGUUUUUGGGGACGUUGAUGCAGAUUUUGGGGUCGGUUAUUGGGAUUUUGGGGUCAAUUGUUGGGAUUUUGGGGUCAUUUAUUGGGAUUUUGGGGUCAGUUGUUGG